This 397-nucleotide transfer-messenger RNA is filed under the name Novosphingobium capsulatum. It matches the Rfam family "Alphaproteobacteria transfer-messenger RNA". From Rfam's summary of the family: Bacterial tmRNA, also known as 10Sa RNA or SsrA, is named for its dual tRNA and mRNA-like properties. Its role is to liberate the mRNA from a stalled ribosome. Lineage: Bacteria; Pseudomonadati; Pseudomonadota; Alphaproteobacteria; Sphingomonadales; Sphingomonadaceae. The record is from RNAcentral. RNAcentral also lists the same sequence under 1 other name.
CCCCUUCCCAACGCCGAAGGAAUCCCUAUAUGGGGUCGUGCCGGGUUUGACCCGGCUAUGGCGAUAAACUGCGGCGUGCAAUAGACGCAGCGGACCCGGGGGCGGUACCCGGCGGCUCCACCACCUCUCUCGUUCCGGCUCUUGGGCCAGGCGGGAAAGAUGACGGGGCCGAACUAGGAUCGACGUGUGUUGAAAAGCGUUGUUUUCGCCCGGGCUGAGUAACCCGUUCAAGGCUCAAAACCAACAAGUGCCAACGACAACGAAGCACUUGCUCUCGCCGCGUAACCUGACGGCCUAACGGCCUGAUCUUACAAAGCGAAAGCGCGGCUGGACACGCCGGUCAACAGAAGUGAUACCAGCGGCCCGGGGGGUGCCGGGCAACAGAAAUCCCCCCACC